This 253-nucleotide ribosomal RNA is filed under the name uncultured bacterium. RNAcentral's name for it is "partial 16S ribosomal RNA". It matches the Rfam family "Bacterial small subunit ribosomal RNA", at positions 524 to 776 of the family's 1533-position model. The record is from RNAcentral.
UACGAAGGUGGCAAGCGUUAUUCGAAAUCACUGGGCUUAAAGGGCGCGUAGGCGGAUAUGUAAGUGUCAGGUGAAAUCCCUCGGCUUAACCGAGGAAUUGCCUGACAAACUACAUAUCUUGAGUCAAGUAGGGGUGUGUGGAACUCUUGGUGGAGCGGUGGAAUGCGUAGAUAUCAAGAGGAACGCCGAAGGUGAAGACAGCACACUGGACUUGUACUGACGCUGAGGCGCGAAAGCGUGGGGAGCGAACAGG